GAUGAACGCUGGCGGCGUGCUUAACUCAUGCAAGUCGAACGGUGAAGGCGGAGCUUGCUCUGCUGGAUCAGUGGCGAACGGGUGAGUAACACGUGAGCAAUCUGCCCCUGACUCUGGGAUAAGCGCUGGAAACGGCGUCUAAUACUGGAUACGAGCUGCGAAGGCAUCUUCAGCAGCUGGAAAGAACUUCGGUCAGGGAUGAGCUCGCGGCCUAUCAGCUUGUUGGUGAGGUAACGGCUCACCAAGGCGUCGACGGGUAGCCGGCCUGAGAGGGUGACCGGCCACACUGGGACUGAGACACGGCCCAGACUCCUACGGGAGGCAGCAGUGGGGAAUAUUGCACAAUGGGCGAAAGCCUGAUGCAGCAACGCCGCGUGAGGGACGACGGCCUUCGGGUUGUAAACCUCUUUUAGCAGGGAAGAAGCGAAAGUGACGGUACCUGCAGAAAAAGCGCCGGCUAACUACGUG
RNAcentral lists this ribosomal RNA (468 nucleotides) under uncultured bacterium. RNAcentral describes it as "partial 16S ribosomal RNA". It matches the Rfam family "Bacterial small subunit ribosomal RNA", at positions 28 to 507 of the family's 1533-position model. The record is from RNAcentral.